CGAACGCUAGCGGCGGGCUUAACACAUGCAAGUCGAGCGAGAAGGAAGCAAUUCCUGUAAAGCGGCGCACGGGUGAGUAACACGUAGGUAAUCUACCUCGAAGUGGUGGAUAACCUUCCGAAAGGAGGGCUAAUACAGCAUGAGACCACGGUUUCGAAAGAGAUUGAGGUCAAAGCGGGCCACUAUACAUAAGCUCGCGCUUCGAGAUGAGCCUGCGGCCCAUCAUGGUAGUUGGUAGGGUAAUGGCCUACCAAGCCGAAGACGGGUAGCUGGUCUGAGAGGAUGAUCAGCCACACUGGAACUGAGACACGGUCCAGACUCCUACGGGAGGCAGCAGUGGGGAAUCUUGCGCAAUGGGCGAAAGCCUGACGCAGCGACGCCGCGUGAGUGAUGAAGGCCUUCGGGUUGUAAAGCUCUGUGGAGGGGGACGAAUAAGGGUUGGCUAACAUCCAGCUCGAUGACGGUACCCCUUUAGCAAGCACCGGCUAACUCUGUG
Molecule: ribosomal RNA, 496 nt
Filed under: uncultured bacterium
Lineage: Bacteria
Description: bacterial SSU rRNA
Rfam family: Bacterial small subunit ribosomal RNA
Source: RNAcentral